AUUAGAAUAUUUUAAUCACCGUAUCCCACAGAAGCGUUUUUGCGGAGAAACGCUCUCGAAUGUGCCUCCAUCUCGCGCACGCCCCCCGCCACCUCUCCUCCCUCCUCCCUCUCUCUCUCUAGGCAGCGAGUAGCGUACUCGCUUAUGGAGUGAGCAUGUGCCGGGUUAGUCUCACUCUUACACUCUGAAGAAACGGGCAGGUGUCUGAAGAGUCCUGCUCUCCGCUCUCUGCUUUCGGCGUCCUCCUUUCCGCGUGGAUUACAGUGUUUGUCCAACCGUAUAUUUCCUGAAUCGGUUUCGUUUUUUCUUUCCUUCUGAUUUUCUUGUCGGACUAAAAAAAAGUAUGAGAUCCCGUUUAAAUUAUGCGUGCUUCCUCGUGCCUGUUGCUCUACAGUUCACUAGGAUACGACAGAUUGUUUCCAAAAUGGAGGCUCCGUCCAAUUGGAGCAGUCACCCGGAGCCCCGCUGAGCUGUCCCAAAUGGGACCGGAUGCCCUCCUGUUGGGUCUGCUCAUCAUUGCCCCGGGGGACCCCAAUCUUACACAGCACACCUGGGCCGGGUCACCUGGGACCCCUCUCUCCGCACGACAGCUGGGAGCGCAGGAGCCAGUGAGAGUGAGGUCAUCAAUGAUGUCACCGACAUCGUCACCUUCACCCGCAAAGUCGCUGCUGGCGUUAGCCGUAGCAUUGGAAUUAGCGUUAUUACAGGGAAAUGCCUGCAAAUUGGCUGAAUAGAGUCCAGAUAAUUUCAGAGAGAUGGCAGAGUGGACUGAAGCUUGGCUUUUUGACAGAAUACAUAAAAUCGCUUGUGAUGCUAGCGACCACAUCCUUAACAGAAGAAACACAGCGUCUCAGAGGGAUGUCAUCCAUAAAGGCUAGCUGCGUGCCAUAAUUGGGCCUUAUAGAUGUGUGCUUUUUGAACCACUGUUUGACUGAACUGAGGUGGAAUACCAAGGGGAAAUAAUUUUUUUGUUAUUUAUUUCUCUAUUACCUCCGGAACAUUUUACUGUAUCGUUGUAUUUAUUCAGCGUUUUCUUUGUGGUAUUUGUGCUUUAGACAUUUUGAAACUGAGGGGAGAAAAAUAAGAUGACAAAACUGGAUAUAUAUAUAUGUACGACGGGACAGAGGAAUAAAACUGUAAUAGCAAUUAAAUGAAAUUAAUAGUAUCAUGUUUCCCCGAUGAGCAGCUUUGUCCAUAGACCUGUCUGGUCUAAUGCAUUUGGAUGAAGCGGUAAUCUGUGGAAUUGCUGUCCACUAAACUGAUUGAGUCUGGCCUCUCUUAAUGUAAUGAAUUUUGGGCUUUAUCCUAGCCAACCGCCAAAUAAAAU
Molecule: long non-coding RNA, 1327 nt
Organism: Anguilla anguilla (European eel)
Lineage: Eukaryota; Metazoa; Chordata; Actinopteri; Anguilliformes; Anguillidae
Exons: 2
Source: RefSeq, a predicted model, not a curated record